This 368-nucleotide ribosomal RNA is filed under the name uncultured organism. Its description in RNAcentral is "bacterial SSU rRNA". It matches the Rfam family "Bacterial small subunit ribosomal RNA", at positions 526 to 896 of the family's 1533-position model. The record is from RNAcentral.
CGUAGGUGGCAAGCGUUGUCCGGAUUUAUUGGGUUUAAAGGGUGCGUAGGCGGUUUUCUAAGUCAGCAGUGAAAUACGGCAGCUCAACUGUCGAGGUGCUGUUGAUACUGGGGAACUUGAGUACUGAUGAGGUAGGCGGAAUGGACGGUGUAGCGGUGAAAUGCUUAGAGAUCGUCCAGAACACCGAUAGCGAAGGCAGCUUACUAAGGAGUAACUGACGCUGAGGCACGAAAGUGUGGGGAUCAAACAGGAUUAGAUACCCUGGUAGUCCACACUGUAAACGAUGAUUACUCGAUGUGUGCGAUACACGGCACGCGUCUUAGCAAAAGCGAUAAGUAAUCCACCUGGGGAGUACGCCGGCAACGGUG